This 73-nucleotide transfer RNA is filed under the name Clostridium sp. RNAcentral describes it as "tRNA-Phe". It matches the Rfam family "tRNA". From Rfam's summary of the family: Transfer RNA (tRNA) molecules are approximately 80 nucleotides in length. Their secondary structure includes four short double-helical elements and three loops (D, anti-codon, and T loops). The record is from RNAcentral. Lineage: Bacteria; Bacillati; Bacillota; Clostridia; Eubacteriales; Clostridiaceae. RNAcentral also lists the same sequence under 9 other names.
GGGAAGUAAGCUAACUCGGUAGAAGCGAUGGACUGAAAAUCCAUAGGAGUUGGUUCGACACCAACACUUCCCA